UAUGCUUGUCUCAAGCUUAAGCCAUGCAAGUCUCAGUACAAACUAACUUAAAGUGAAACCGCAAAAGGCUCAGUAAACCAGUCAUGAUUCACUCGAGUAUACAUGACUGUCUUUGGAUAACUGUGGUAAUCCUAGAGCUAAUACAUGCAACCAAGUCCCGACCAGUCUGACUGGGAAGGACGCUUUUAUUAGAUCAAGACCAAUCGCUCGGCUCGUUCGGGCGUAGCCUUGGUGACUCUAGGUAACACAUCAGAUCGCAUGGUCUUUGCACCGGCGACUUAUCCUUCAAAUGCCUGACUUAUCAACUGUCGAUGGUAGACUCUAUGUCUACCAUGGUUGUAACGGGUAACGGGGAAUCAGGGUUCGAUUCCGGAGAGGGAGCCUGAGAAACGGCUACCACAUCCAAGGAAGGCAGCAGGCACGCAAAUUACCCACUCCCGGCACGGGGAGGUAGUGACAAAAAAUAACGAUACGGGACUCUUAUGAGGCCCCGUAAUCGGAAUGAGUACACUUUAAAUCCUUUAACAAGGAUCCAUUGGAGGGCAAGUCUGGUGCCAGCAGCCGCGGUAAUUCCAGCUCCAAUAGCGUAUAUUAAAGUUGUUGCGGUUAAAAAGCUCGUAGUUGGUUCUGCGUGCUACGCUGUCGGUUCGCCGCCUGCCGGUGUAACUGGCAUGCCGUGGCAUGUCCUGUCGGUGGCGUGCGGGAGCCUUGUCUAGGUGACGGUCCUUGCCCAAAGCUUGGUACCGGAGGCCGGAGGUCCAACCCGUGCGCCUUCUCUAUCCUACCUAGGUGCUCUUCACCGAGUGUCGAGGUAGGCCGACACGUUUACUUUGAACAAAUUAGAGUGCUCAAAGCAGGCUGAAAUCUCUGCCUGAAUAGUGGUGCAUGGAAUAAUAAAACAGGACCUUGGUUCUAUUUUGUUGGUUCUUAGGAACACAAGGUAAUGAUCAAUACGGACAGGCGGGGGCAUUCGUAUUGCGACGUUAGACUUGGCAAAUGCUUUCGCUUAAAGGAAUUGACGGAAGGGCACCACCAGGAGUGGAGCCUGCGGCUUAAUUUGACUCAACACGGGAAACCUCACCAGGCCAGGACAUUGGAAGGAUUGACAGAUUGAUAGCUCUUUCUUGAUUCAGUGGGUAGUGGUGCAUGGCCGUUCUUAGUUGGUGGAUCGAUUUGUCUGGUUAAUUCCGAUAACGAACGAGACUCUAGCCUAUUAACUAGGCGUUUACCGGUGUCCUCGCCACCGGCGACACUCAUUCUUCUUAAGGGGACAGGCGGCUUAUAGCCGCACGAGAUUGAGCAAUAACAGGUCUGUAAUGCCCUUAGAUGUCCUGGGCCGCACGCGCGCUACACUGAAGGAAUCAGCGUGUGCCUCCCUGGCCGAAAGGCCCGGGUAAUCCGCUGAACCUCCUGCGUGCUAGGAAUUGGGGCUUGCAAUUGUUCCCCAUGAACGAGGAAUUCCCAGUAAGCGCGAGUCAUAAGCUCGCGUUGAUUACGUCCCUGCCCUUUGUACACACCGCCCGUCGCUACUACCGAUUGAAUGAUUUAGUGAGGUCUUCGGACUGGCGGUAAUCCCUAUCGACUUGUCGGUAUCGAUGAACGCUGGAAAGAUGACCAAACUUGAUCAUUUAGAGGAAGUAAAAGUCGUAACAAGGUUUCCG
Molecule: ribosomal RNA, 1661 nt
Filed under: Deraeocoris mutatus
Lineage: Eukaryota; Metazoa; Arthropoda; Insecta; Hemiptera; Miridae
Description: SSU rRNA
Rfam family: Eukaryotic small subunit ribosomal RNA
Source: RNAcentral